This 281-nucleotide ribosomal RNA is filed under the name Oceaniferula marina. RNAcentral's name for it is "Bacterial large subunit ribosomal RNA". It matches the Rfam family "Bacterial large subunit ribosomal RNA", at positions 2040 to 2320 of the family's 2925-position model. The record is from Rfam by way of RNAcentral. Lineage: Bacteria; Pseudomonadati; Verrucomicrobiota; Verrucomicrobiia; Verrucomicrobiales; Verrucomicrobiaceae.
AAUUGUAGUGCCGGUGAAGAUGCCGGCUACCCGCAGAAGGACGGAAAGACCCUAUAGACCUUAACUGUAAGCUGUUACUGUUUAUUCGAUUACAAUGCUCAGCAUAAGUGGGAGACGUUGAAGUGUGUUUUUAGGAGCACGUGGAGUCGCCAGUGAGAUACCACCCUUUGUGAUUGGAUAAUCUAACCCCGAGCCGUAAUCCGGCCGGGGGACCGUGGCAGCCGGUCAGUUUUACUGGGGCGGUAUCCUCCUAAAGAGUAACGGAGGAGCGCGAAGGUUGG